AGCCCAGAGCCUGAAUCAGUGUGUGUGUUAGUGGAAGCGUCUGGAAAGGCGCGCGAUACAGGGUGACAGCCCCGUACACAAAAAUGCACAUAUUGUGAGCUCGAUGAGUAGGGCGGGACACGUGGUAUCCUGUCUGAAUAUGGGGGGACCAUCCUCCAAGGCUAAAUACUCCUGACUGACCGAUAGUGAACCAGUACCGUGAGGGAAAGGCGAAAAGAACCCCGGCGAGGGGAGUGAAAAAGAACCUGAAACCGUGUACGUACAAGCAGUGGGAGCACGCUUCGGCGUGUGACUGCGUACCUUUUGUAUAAUGGGUCAGCGACUUAUAUUCUGUAGCAAGGUUAACCGAAUAGGGGAGCCGAAGGGAAACCGAGUCUUAACUGGGCGUUAAGUUGCAGGGUAUAGACCCGAAACCCGGUGAUCUAGCCAUGGGCAGGUUGAAGGUUGGGUAACACUAACUGGAGGACCGAACCGACUAAUGUUGAAAAAUUAGCGGAUGACUUGUGGCUGGGGGUGAAAGGCCAAUCAAACCGGGAGAUAGCUGGUUCUCCCCGAAAGCUAUUUAGGUAGCGCCUCGUGAAUUCAUCUCCGGGGGUAGAGCACUGUUUCGGCAAGGGGGUCAUCCCGACUUACCAACCCGAUGCAAACUGCGAAUACCGGAGAAUGUUAUCACGGGAGACACACGGCGGGUGCUAACGUCCGUCGUGAAGAGGGAAACAACCCAGACCGCCAGCUAAGGUCCCAAAGUCAUGGUUAAGUGGGAAACGAUGUGGGAAGGCCCAGACAGCCAGGAUGUUGGCUUAGAAGCAGCCAUCAUUUAAAGAAAGCGUAAUAGCUCACUGGUCGAGUCGGCCUGCGCGGAAGAUGUAACGGGGCUAAACCAUGCACCGAAGCUGCGGCAGCGAC
Molecule: ribosomal RNA, 906 nt
Filed under: Escherichia coli
Lineage: Bacteria; Pseudomonadati; Pseudomonadota; Gammaproteobacteria; Enterobacterales; Enterobacteriaceae
Description: partial 23S ribosomal RNA
Rfam family: Bacterial large subunit ribosomal RNA
Source: RNAcentral